This 400-nucleotide ribosomal RNA is filed under the name uncultured bacterium. RNAcentral describes it as "bacterial SSU rRNA". It matches the Rfam family "Bacterial small subunit ribosomal RNA", at positions 917 to 1322 of the family's 1533-position model. The record is from RNAcentral.
GGGCCCGCACAAGCGGUGGAGCAUGUGGUUUAAUUCGAUGCAACGCGAAGAACCUUACCAGGGCUUGACAUACUACGAAUUCUUUUGAAAAAAGAAGUGCCUUCGGGAAUGUAGAUACAGGUGGUGCAUGGCUGUCGUCAGCUCGUGUCGUGAGAUGUUGGGUUAAGUCCCGCAACGAGCGCAACCCUUAUUUUUAGUUACCAAUUCGUUGGGUUCUUUAGAAAGACUGCCGGUGACAAACCGGAGGAAGGUGAGGAUGACGUCAAGUCAGCAUGCCCCUUAUGUCCUGGGCUACACACGUGCUACAAUGGUUAAGACAAAGAGUCGCGAGCCUGCAAAGGUCAGCUAAUCUCAUAAACUUAGCCCCAGUUCAGAUUGUAGGCUGCAACUCGCCUACAUG